CUGAGGACGCCACGCCGAGACCGAAACGCACAGUGAUGUUGAUGUUAUUAAUAAAUAAUAACAUAGUAAAAACCACAUAAUUUUGUGUCAAACCAAUUCUCGCUGAUAUUUUUUAUUCCGACUGAAAUUAAGCUUUUGUGUUCACUACCAGCACUGCUUAUGACACUUUUAGUACUUAUAGUUAUCCUAUUUGUGAACACGAAAACACAGAAACGCAAAAUAAUGUUCUUACGGAGAAAAACAAUUUUCAUUAUCGAAAAAAAGGAAAUACAAAAACCCUUACGAAUUGGAAAAUGUCAAGUCUAGUAAGACGGUUAGUUAUUUUUAUAUUUGUAACAAUAACAUUUUUAAAUAUUAUGUUCAUCAUAAGUUGUACUUAUAAUACCGAUACUGUUACCGGGAUUGAUCCAAGUAUAUUAUUUUUAUUUACGAAAACGCAUGGUCAUUUUUUGAUUUUUUAAACAAUUUUUAAAAUAAUUACAAAAAACCUAAAAAAAAUAUUGCAAAGUUAAAAAUAAAAUAUGUUUGUGUUUUUAUGUACAGAUAGACUCAGAUUCAUUAACAUUGCAAUCAUCUCAUAGAAAUGAAAAUAUUAUGGACUUGAGUAAUUCUGCAAUAUUCGUACUUAGAUUUAGUUUUUUUAUUUUUAUAGAUUUUUGAAAAUUACUUUGACAACAAACAUAAAAUUUUGGUAUGUAUUUACUAAAGGUUAAAUGACGAAAGUAUUUCUAUGAUUUUCGCUUCACUAUUGCCAAGAGCUAACAAUGUAAUGUUAGAUAAUGAAUUAUUUAGACUGUAUAUUGUUUUGAAAAAUGAUACAAAGUAAGAACAAUAAUUAUUACAGUACUAAUAAGCCAUGUAUUAGUCUUAUAUUAUAAAAGAGAAAAUAUUGACAAUAAUAAUACAAUUUCCGUGUGUUCUAUCGCCAUUUUGUAAGUAUACUUAAACUAAAAUCAUAAUGUGUAAUAUAUUAUUUUACAUGUUGUUUUAGAAAUGAUCAUGUUCUAAGUGGUCGAAGAAUAGUUGAUAUCAAUUCUUUUUAAACUUGAUAAAAUCAAUUGACCACAAACCAUUUGAUUGUUUAUUUCAAAAUCUUGUGUAUAAAUAUGAAAUACACUAAGACUUUUUUUCCAAAUUUUAUUUUGAAUAUUCUGUGUUUAUAAUUUAUAAUUUAUCAUAAGCUCAUAGGAGACGGAGAUUCAAGUGUUUUAAAAAAAAUUAUUUUGGCAAACCCAUAUGGACUGUAUGAUAUAGACGUAAAAAAAUGAAUGUGCAAACCAAAUACUCAAAAUUUACUUAAACUGAAUUGUAGUAAUGACUACUAGAAGAAAAAGUUCAAAAGGGAAUGUGGUUUCUGGAGUUUUACGGAAAAUUUUAAAAGAUAAGCAUUUAAAGUUGAGGUAGGUACAAAUUUGUUUUUAAUUUAUAAAUUAUUUAAAUUUUUUAAUAUAUUAAAUCUGAUAUAAAUGUAUGAUAGAUUACAAUUUUUAGAAGAAAAAAACAACAGAAUGGCUAUCUCCAAAUUUUCCAAAAAUAAUAAAAUAAUAAUUCAUGUAUAAAUAUUUGUACUCCUCAUUCCUGUGACUAAUAUAAAAAAACAUAAUUUGAUUAUCUUUAUUAUCUCCAGAGAUCUUUAAGGGGUAUAUCUUCAUGAACAGCCAGUAUAAAUCAUUGUAAUUGUAAUUUUAAUAAAUUUAAAAAAAUGGACUUUAGUUUAUGUAAUUGUUUUACUGGUGUGUCAUAACAAAUUCAUGUAAAAUAAAACUAAAUUUACCUCUUAAUUACCCAAUUACGUAAUUCAAUUUUCUCGGUAAAUUAAAUUAAAGCUAUCCUUAGAUGAAAUCUAUGUUUCAGAAAGAAUAACAGUAGACCAAUGCAAUAGUGACGAAUGGUGGAGACAACGUAAGAUGUGUCUCACAGCAUCAAAUUUUAAAAAAGUUUCAAAACUUAGAGCUAAUAUCUCUCGGGCAAAUACUGUCAAAUAUAAAUUGUAUGCAUUAUUUUGCGGCAAUGUUGCUACAAGGUUAUUUAUUUUUUAUUAUAUUCAUUAAUUGUAAAGACGUGAUAAUAAAUAAAUAAGGUUAC
This 2085-nucleotide long non-coding RNA is filed under the name Cinara cedri. Lineage: Eukaryota; Metazoa; Arthropoda; Insecta; Hemiptera; Aphididae. The record is from RNAcentral.